GAACGAGAAAGUGGAGCAAUCCAUGAGUAAAGUGGCGACCGGGUGAGUAACACGUGACUAACCUACCCUUGAGUGGGGGAUAACCUCGGGAAACCGGGGCUAAUACCGCAUAACAUCGCAAGAUCAAAGGAGCAAUCCGCUGAAGGAGGGGGUCGCGGCUGAUUAGCUAGUUGGUGAGGUAACGGCUCACCAAGGCGAAGAUCAGUAGCCGGCCUGAGAGGGCGCACGGCCACACUGGAACUGAAACACGGUCCAGACUCCUACGGGAGGCAGCAGUGGGGAAUUUUGCGCAAUGGGGGAAACCCUGACGCAGCAACGCCGCGUGGAGGAUGAAGUCCCUUGGGAUGUAAACUCCUUUCGAUCGGGACGAUGAUGACGGUACCGGAAGAAGAAGCACCGGCUAACUCUGUG
Molecule: ribosomal RNA, 411 nt
Filed under: uncultured bacterium
Lineage: Bacteria
Description: bacterial SSU rRNA
Rfam family: Bacterial small subunit ribosomal RNA
Source: RNAcentral